CCCUUAGAUGUCCGGGGCCGCACGCGCGCUACAAUGGAUGAAUCAACGCGUCGUCCUGGCCCGAAAGGGUUGGGGAACCGCUGAACCUCAUCCGUGGUUGGGAUUGGGGUUUGUAAUUAUUCCCCAUGAACUAGGAAUUCCCAGUAAGCGCGAGUCAUAAGCUCGCGUUGAUUACGUCCCUGCCCUUUGUACACACCGCCCGUCGCUCCUACCGAUUGAAUGCUCAGGUGAGCCAUUCGGACCUUCAUCAUGCCGGUUUCCGGUUUUGAUGAGGGAAAGUCUUGCGAACCUUAUCAUUUAGAGGAAGGAGAAGUCGUAACA
RNAcentral lists this ribosomal RNA (321 nucleotides) under uncultured eukaryote. Its description in RNAcentral is "partial 18S ribosomal RNA". It matches the Rfam family "Eukaryotic small subunit ribosomal RNA", at positions 1470 to 1796 of the family's 1831-position model. The record is from RNAcentral.